GGAGCUUUGCCUCCCGGAUGUUAGCGGCGGACGGGUGAGUAACACGUGGGUAACCUGCCUGUAAGACUGGGAUAACUCCGGGAAACCCGGGAANCUAAUACCGGAUAGUUCCUUGAACCGCAUGGUUCAAGGAUGAAAGACGGUUUCGGCUGUCACUUACAGAUGGACCCGCGGCGCAUUAGCUAGUUGGUGGGGUAAUGGCUCACCAAGGCGACGAUGCGUAGCCGACCUGAGAGGGUGAUCGGCCACACUGGGACUGAGACACGGCCCAGACUCCUACGGGAGGCAGCAGUGGUCU
This 298-nucleotide ribosomal RNA is filed under the name Bacillus sp. SR1.1. RNAcentral's name for it is "partial 16S ribosomal RNA". It matches the Rfam family "Bacterial small subunit ribosomal RNA", at positions 74 to 357 of the family's 1533-position model. Lineage: Bacteria; Bacillati; Bacillota; Bacilli; Caryophanales; Bacillaceae. The record is from RNAcentral.